Rosa chinensis is the source of this 540-nucleotide long non-coding RNA. RefSeq lists it as uncharacterized. NCBI's taxonomy places the organism in Eukaryota, Viridiplantae, Streptophyta, Magnoliopsida, Rosales, Rosaceae. The record is from RefSeq and is a predicted model, not a curated record. The transcript is spliced from 3 exons.
CGAAGUAUAUUGUGUUAGUAUGGACACGACCACAUGUGAUUAGUCAGUAGACCUAAAAUCUAAACCCGAGCUUCCUCAGCUAGAGAUCGAUUCCGCCUCCAAGGCUCCAAGCCACCAACUCUUUGUCUCUCUCGGUCUCUCCCAGAAAAUCAGAAAUCGAUUCAGACCCAUUCAGCCCUCAGCUUCUUCAGCCCUCAGACCCAUUCAGCCCUCAGCCCUCAGCCCUCGGUCUCUCCCAGAAUUCGCACUUCAUAGUCAGUUCCUCACAAUCGAUCUCCCAGAAAUCGGUCUUCAAGAAGACUCUUCCUCACUUACGGCCUCUCAGCUUGCUCCUAGCCUUGACGAUCUUCUCCUUACUGCUCGCUAGCUCCUCUUCGCUUCAGGACCCCUAGAUCGCCAACGCCGAGCGCAGAUUGAAGGAUCUUUGAGCUCUUCGAGGAAAAGUAGAAAGGGUGAGGCUAGCAAAUUGAAGUCCAGCAAAGGUGCAGAAAGGAGUCCUGAUCAACAUCUCCAUUCACUCAAGGCUGGGGCUUGCUUGAG